AGAGAAGGUCUGUCAUUGACCCUGAAGCUAGACUGGCUGAUAGCAAGCCCCAGUGAACCGCCUGUCACAAGAACCCAUAGAACUGGGGUUACAGAUAAGAAUAAUGAAUCUUAAGCUUUUUUGGAUGCACAAGUGAAAUAAUGAAUUGCAGGCUGAAGACCAGCAGCUAAUUUUGACUUCCCUUGGACUCCAGCACCAGAUUGGGAAUACUGAGACAUCCAGUCCCAUGAACUGAGCAACUGGAGUCCUUGGUCUUCUCGUUGGGAGAUCAUGUUUGCCAUUUUGGACUACUGAAACCACAUGU
This is a long non-coding RNA of Peromyscus californicus insignis, 304 nucleotides long. RefSeq lists it as uncharacterized. NCBI's taxonomy places the organism in Eukaryota, Metazoa, Chordata, Mammalia, Rodentia, Cricetidae. The record is from RefSeq and is a predicted model, not a curated record. The transcript is spliced from 3 exons.